CCCGCCGGCGACCGGCGCACGGGUGAGUAACACGUAUGCAACCUGGCCGUGACAGAUGGAUAACCGGGAGAAAUCCCGCCUAAUACAACAUAAUGCCGGGAGGGGACAUCCCCUGCCGGCCAAAGGGGGCGACCCCGGUCACGGAUGGGCAUGCGGCGCAUUAGGUAGUUGGUGGGGCAACGGCCCACCAAGCCGACGAUGCGUAGGGGUUCUGAGAGGAAGGUCCCCCACAUUGGAACUGAGACACGGUCCAAACUCCUACGGAAGGCAGCAG
RNAcentral lists this ribosomal RNA (274 nucleotides) under uncultured bacterium. RNAcentral describes it as "partial 16S ribosomal RNA". It matches the Rfam family "Bacterial small subunit ribosomal RNA", at positions 84 to 354 of the family's 1533-position model. The record is from RNAcentral.